Molecule: ribosomal RNA, 500 nt
Filed under: uncultured bacterium
Lineage: Bacteria
Description: partial 16S ribosomal RNA
Rfam family: Bacterial small subunit ribosomal RNA
Source: RNAcentral
GAUGAACGCUGGCGGCGUGCUUAACACAUGCAAGUCGAACGGGAAUGUUUCGCUGAUGCGAUUUCGGUCAAAUCUUGAAGCAUUUUAGUGGCGGACGGGUGAGUAACGCGUGGGUAACCUGCCCUGUACAGGGGGACAACAGUUGGAAACGACUGCUAAUACCGCAUAAGCGCACAGCUUCGCAUGAAGCAGUGUGAAAAACUCCGGUGGUACAGGAUGGACCCGCGUCUGAUUAGAUAGUUGGUGAGGUAACGGCCCACCAAGUCAACGAUCAGUAGCCGGCCUGAGAGGGCGAACGGCCACAUUGGGACUGAGACGCGGCCCAAACUCCUACGGGAGGCAGCAGUGGGGAACAUUGCACAAUGGGGGAAACCCUGAUGCAGCGACGCCGCGUGAGUGAAGAAGUAUUUCGGUAUGUAAAGCUCUAUCAGCAGGGAAGAAAACAAUGACGGUACCUGACUAAGAAGCCCCGGCUAACUACGUGCCAGCCGCCGCCGUAA